CACUGGGGUCCGGGGGUAGACCCUUAAACUUCAAAGAUAAACCAAAGCGUGAUAUUGAAGUUUAUUGUGUGGAAGACUUAAUGAUCAAUCACGCCAAUCACAUCAUUGCAGCAGAAAGAGUGCAUGACGCACACACUUUUACACAAAUUUGGUAUUUAGCUGAUCGUGGUGACGGGACUAAGUGCCUAAGGCGACGUGAUUUCUGUAGGUCCCACAUAAGCCCGCAGAGUUCUUUAGUAGACUAUUGUUGCAGAUUGGACGACAGUUAGCAGUUAAAAGCCCGUAUGCCAAGAUAUUGGCCGCCUCUGUAAAGCGUUCUGUAUCACCUUUGGUCAUAAGAAUCAUUGCCAACAGUGCUCCCAUACAACGUUCACGUCCCCUCACCACGCAGACACAUGAUGGUUAUUCUAUCAUUGAACACAUGCGGUCUGCGAUACGCAACGCUCCACAGACUAGUGAGACGGGGUUUGAUUGGCUGAACUCAGUAAUCGGGGGAUGAGGCUCGUGGAUAUUAACCGUCUGUUUACCAAUAGGUGCAAUAAUUCUUCUUGUCUUGCUCAUUUUGCCUUGUAUUGUUUCUCUCGUUCGGAGCAGUCUCUCACGCUCGUUGAAAUCACUAAUGACCAAACGCUGAUGUUGACACAGACUGAGUACGAUCCCUAUGAUGACCAACCUGACUCGUAUCCUAAACCUGACCGGGUAUCAGAUUCUCCCAGUAACACACUGACUAUGACGAUAACGAUGAUCUUGCUUGUGUACACUGUUUAUUACAUUUUUGAAUUACUUUUUUUUUUCUUUUCUUCAUAGAAUCACUUCAGGCACUGAUAUAACUGUCUUUUUUGUCAUAUCCAAUAUAGAAAAAAUGAUUAAACUUGCAUUUUUUUUGUUAUUUUACCUAAAGUAAAGUGUAACUUUAUGCACUUGGCUUCAUUGUACAGCAGUGCUGUAGUACUUUGGAAUGGAACAUUAUGACCUUUGACCUGCACUGUGAAAAUUCAGUUGAGUUUUUUUGCAGUGUUGUUUAACAUGUUUCUUUGUUUGUUUGAUGUUCUGUAAUGACUGAAGAUCAGCGCAGAAUUCACCAGACUUGUGUCGAUGGACCUGAGCAAGUCCUUUUAUGAGGGUCUUGACAAACACGCCUCAAAGCUGCUGUAUUUGUACAUUUGUACCGCUUGAGGCGCCAUGCAGACAUUGCAGAAAGGAGUGCCAUACUGGAGAGCCUGGAUAAAAAUGCAUCAAAUCACAGGAAGAGGGUUGCAGUACUGCUGGGGCUGCCACUGUCCAUGUGGGAGAAUCCAUCUCAGUUCUUAAAGAUCUGUGAGCACACAGAUUCUGAAGAAGAGUUAAUCAAGGGCGUGACCGCUGGAAUCAGUACAGUUGUGGAUGAUGUGAUGGACUCUAUUCUGUGUGACUGCAGUGAUGUAGCCCUUGUAAUCGAAGAAGUUGUCGUUCUACGCAAUCUUGGUGAUGUACCAAAUGCAUUUGUCAACUUGAUGGGAUUGCUUUAUGCACUUAACAUAAAGUACCCCAAAAACUUCACAUACACCUUUGAGGUCCUUCAGAGGCUGUUCAUGAACAUUGGAACUGAUGCCUGCAGUGCAUGAGUACAUUCACUUAAAAAUAAUCUGCUCAAGUAGAGAUGGUGUUAUGGAUUUCGUGUAAGAGAGAUUUCGUGUGUUGUGUGUAUGUUACAGUUUCUAUGCCUCAACAGCAUGACUUCAAUUUUGUUUUAUAUUUUCACCUUUAAACACUGGGCAAUUGAGAUGUAAUUUUGUUAGGCAAAAACAGAUUUCUGCUUGCUUUUUCUGUUUAUUUUGAGAAAUUCAUGUAAUUUCAUUUAUUUUUUACAAUUAUAAUAGAUUUGUUUACUCAAAUUAAUCUUACCAAAAUAUUACAUUUUUAACCUCACACAGGUUUGGUGAAAAACACUUUCAGUUUAGUCGCUGGUAUCCUCUUGCUCGUCUUUUGGCUGUGGGUUCGGCGCUCUCGUCCUGUUCUCUGUCUUGUUCCUCCUGAGACUCGUCCUGUUGCUGCUGUAAAACUACACUGCAGUAAAACUAUUAUUUCAUAGCACGUCAAUAACUACGGUUCUACUAAUUCUAAUUAAAAUAACUAGAUAGCUUAUUAGCUGAUGUGAUUGACCUGUCGGUUCUGUCCAAUUCUCUAUAUAAAUUUCAGCUGCAGUGUAGAGAGUACGGUGACCAAAGUCCAACUCUCACUCAAAUUAAAAAAAGUGAACCAGACGGCCUUGUAAAAACCCCAGUUUGGACGUCUUACCUUGCGUUUUCGUAAUUUCGUAGCGAAGCUGAGUAGCUUGUGAAAAGCUCUGGCCCUUUUCUUUUCACUCUGGCACUGUACUAGCAAAAUGACGUACCCUUUCUCAUUAUAUUUGUCUAUUUUCUCUUUUUUCUACACAUUCCUAUAUAUGCAUAAUCUUUUUUUUUAAGGCUAAUGGAUUUCUCUAUCCAGUCUUUCAAAGGACAUGGGCUAAAAUGUUUCCAGAUUUAAAGAAUUCACACAGUGGCGGAGAAACCUGUGGACUAGGGUUGAGGUGGGUUUCUUCCAGGUUCCAGGUUAUAAGUGGAGUGUUUAUGGUAAAUUGGCACUAUGUGUGAACGAGUGUGUGAAUGUGUGUGUGUGCGCACGGUGCUUUGCGAUGGACUGGCGUCCCAUUCAGGGUGUCCAGUUUUCUCAGGAUAGGCCCUGGAUCGGUCAUGAUCCUGACUAGGUUAAAGUUGUUACUGAAGUGAAUGAAUGAGUAUAUUCUGUCUAUUCUUUUUAUCUGCUUGUUGAAACACUACCAACCUGUUUUCAUUAAGCCAGAGGUUUCCUGUGGCGAAUUCCGCAUCACGUGAUGGAAAGGUUUUGGCCUCCUGCUGGUCACCUUUAACCCGGCGAGCUUGGCCUUGUUGAGUGGCGUGAGUCGCUUCAUAUUGAGCAGAAGCUCAGGCUUAUCCCGUUUGAAAUACGGGUUUUGAAAGUGGUGCAGUUGGGCUUUAAUGGAUGUGAUGUUGGUUUGCUUGUCUGAGACGUCACGGUCUGUGCGUUCUUUUCUGAAGCCCUACAGGUUCAGCUAGCAAACAAAACUGAUUAAGUCAGUCGUUCUGAAGUACUCUGACAAAUGCGUGGGUUGGGACAAAAGCACUUCAGCUUCAAAGGUUUGUUGAUGGGCAAAUAUUCCUUCCCCGCUGUCGUCCCACCAGACUGAGUGAAUCUGGGGAUCGUUCACCAAACGCCACAACUUUCCAGGGAAGUAGGUGGGGUUGAUGAAGGUGACAGAAGAUGCGUCAACGCUGGGUGGCGUAGCUCCCGGUAGCAAAUCAAUAGCGCAGUCAUAGGGCCGAUGAGGGGGUAAGCCACUCGCCUUUUUCUUACUAAAUGCCUCGCUGUAGGUACCGGUACUCCAUGGGAAUGUGGAUGGUUGUGGUACAGUUCGGACUUUCUACGGACGUGGUAGCUAACAUGAGUACAGGUGCCCGAAUACAAUUCUUAAUGCAAUGAAGGGACCAGUGCGUGAUUUCCUUCUGAGUCCAGGAAAUGACUGGAUUAUGGUGCUCUAGCCAGGGAAGGCCCAGGACCACUGGGUGUCGGGUGGAAAUCGUGACAUAAAAAACGAUACUCUCCUGAUGGAGUGCACUGGUUUGGAGGGUGGUUGGUGCGGUGCAGUCGGUGAUGAGCCCCCUCCCGAUGGGAGUACCAUCGAUGGCUUGGAUCCGGCGUGGAGUAUGUAGCGGUCGAACGGGGAUAUUGUAUUGCUUGGCGGUGGACUGGUCAAUGAAAUUCCCCGCUGCUCCUGAGUCGAUUAGCGCCUCUAGAGAGUACAAGACCGGUUUGAGUAUUCUAAUACAACAAGCAUGAAAAAUGUGGAUCGAGAUGAGCUCCGGGUUUCUGAACCCACACUCACCUCUGGCUGAUACUGCUUGGCCGCAGUGUUUUCUCUUGUGGCUCCGCGUUGUUUGAGAGGGCAUUGUGGAAUGAAAUGCCCCUCCGCGCCGCAGUAGAAACAUCGAAAUUCUCGAUGUCUUCUUUCUCUCUCCUCCUUGCUAACCCUCGAUCGACCUAGCUGCAUAGGUUCAGCCGGAGGAGCUUGUACCGCCAGAUUCCCCUCACUGUAUGUUGAGCGGCGACUUUGUAGCAGUCGGUCAAGACGGAUGGCCAGGCUGAUGAGCGAAUCGAGGGUUAGUUGAUCAUUGCGACAUGCAAGUUCAGUCACGACGUCAGGAUUUAAUCCUCUGCGAAACAUGGUUUUAGAGCGGGUUGGUUCCAUCCACUUCUAGCUGCUACGGUGCGAAAUUCCAGCGCAUAGUCCGCCACGCAGCGUGUCCCUUGUUGCAGAGUUAACAGUUCCUCCCCAGUCUCCCUGUUGUCGGGAGAAUGAUCAAAUACAAUCCGGAAUCGCUCGGUCAGUUGAUCAUAUGUAGUGAUGGAACCAUCUGCCUGCCCCCACUCGGCUGUGGCCCAGAGUAAUGCUCUUCCGGUUAACAACUCCAUAAAAUGGAUGAUCUUGCGAUUUUCCGUCAUUUCUGGGUAGGUAGAAAAAAAAACGGAGCACUGAAGGAGGAAACCUCGGCAACGGGUCGGAUUUCCGUCAUAUUUUUCCGGUGCCGGGGUGGGAGGAAGACGCAGAGAUACUGUAGUAGCGGCUGGCGCGGCCUGGUUUAGCUUAGCUACCUGUUCGUUCAGGUUGGCUAGUUGUUGAAUAUGGCCGCUUAGAACCCGGCCGUGGCUUUCAAUGGCUUGUUGCACACGCGGAUCACCCGCUGCUUCCAUUGUAAGUGGCGAAGUAAUCUGUCACGUACCGUGGGUGGAGACGGAGGCAGUCGCGGGUGACAGGAAUCAAGGCAGAAUAAUCCAACGGGGACAGACAAAGUUCGUGGUCGAUAAACAGGCGAGGAUCAGGCGAUCGGUCAAACAAACAAAAGGAGGCAAGGCAGAGCUCGAAGUCAGUGGCGGAAAAACUGGUCAAAAGGUAGCUUAGUCAAUGUACGAGAAACGGCUUAGAGAAUGACAGAGAAACGAGUCAACUGAACAUUACUUUGCAAAGUCUCCUCUCUUCCAAAGUCUCUCUUAUACUGUGGUGUGAUUGUGUUUGUAAUGGCUUGCAGGUGUGUGCUUAGAACUCUGGGGAGGGUGAGCACAUGCAUGAGCGGGAGGUGUCGUUUGCAGCGGCCAUGUUGGGAGUGAGUGUUGCCUCCUGGGAAAUUGAGUCUUGGCAGGGCUGAGAUAUGAGACCGACAGUGUUAUGACCCCGGUCUAGGGUCGAGGUGCAAUAUAAAAAAAAGUAUAAACAAAAACAAAUCAGACUCAGAAAUAAUGAGGUUGACAUCUUCGAAUCUUACAAAUUUAAUGAUUACAAGAAAAAUAAUCCAAAACAAACAGAAUCACUCCGAAAGCACCACACUUCAGGGCUGGGCAAGGCCAAAAUAAUAAACAAAACAGUCGCUAUCUUCCCCGUAUCAAUUUAACUAACUAAACAAAAAAAAAAAGUAUGUCAAGAGAAAAUACAGAGUCUAAACUGACAGUUCUACUAAUUCUAAUUAAAAUAACUAGAUAGCUUAUUAGCUGAUGUGAUUGACCUGUCGGUUCUCCAUCUCCAAUUCUCUAUCUCUAUUUCAGCCGCAGUGUAGACAGUACGGUGACCAACGUCCAACGCUCGCUCAAAUUUUUUUUAAAAACUAACAAAAAAGUGAACCAGAUGCCCCUGUAAAAACCCGUUUGGACAUCUUACCUUGCGUUUUCGUAAUUUCGUAACUAACUCUGAGUAGCUUGUGAAAAGAUCAGUCCUGUGUGUGCACCAUUCCUGUCUGACUUCCUGUUCGUCUAAAUUAUUUUAUGUAACUAUUUUGGAUAUUUUGAAUGUGUGUGUUGAUUUAGACACAUUAGCAUAAUGCUAAUGUAACCCAGAGGUAAAAUAGGCAAUAAAUAAAUAAAUAAGUCCUGAGUGAAAUAAAUAUGCAAUAAAUGUUAUGUACAAGUGAUUAUACAUUUUAUGUGCUAACUAUGUGGAAGUGCGUUAUGCUGAAAAGAUCGCUUGUGAACUAAAAGGGAGGUUUUUUUUUUGUAAACCUUUUAUCAUCCAAUAGGGCGUAUUGUUAUUGGGACAUUAGCCUGUAAGGUCGAGUGUUACUACAUCCCAGCCAAUAGAAUGGUUAGGCCCGCCUCUCAGCCAUUCACGCUAGCGAGGGAGAUGGGAAGUGAUGUCAGUGGUAACUGAAUCAUCGUAGCGUUACAUGCACACUAACCUGCAUACAUAGCAGCAAAACUCGGGUAUUUGGAUGAAAACACAACGUACCCACACAGCAUGAGUUGCUAAGUGAUGAAGAAAAAAAAGAUAGAUCUUAUCUUUAUAAACCUGCCAAUUCAAAUGAAACCCAUUCGAACAGAAAGUCAAACAAUAUCUUUCUACAAUGGUUUCAAUUCGAGUAUAUUAAAUGGCCUUUAGCAAAAGUUCUUUAUUCAUAAACGUAAACGGAUAAUAAAUGUUCUGUUUUUGUAUACUUUUAGUUAAAAUUUAUUUCUUUUUUUUAUUUUUAAUGACAAGUAUGCCUUAAAAGUACUGAAGGUGCUGCUCUGGUGAUGCUCUGACCGGGUUAGAGUUUCUGUUUAUUUAAUUUUAUUACUGUUAUCUCCUUGGCUUUACUUGUUACACUGUUAUAUUAUUUGUUACAAGUCUUUAAAAGGUAAGGACAUUAUAUUUAUUAUUGUGUGCAGACUGUUUAUCAGUCUUGGUAAUUUUGUUGGUUAGUCCAGCUUACGCUCUGAGUUGUUUUCACAUUGUGGACAACGUUCGGUUUCUGUAGGAUACACUGCUGUCUCAUUUGUUUAUGGAGACUCUGGGUGUGUGGGUGUUUGGAGGAUUGUGAGAGUGAGCAGAACAUGCCAAUGCUUUGAAGGAUGUAAUGUUAUUUAAUUGCGAAUCUGUUUUUAGAGGAUUUAAACCUAACAUGGUGAACAAAUUUAUAUUAUAGAAUUCAGGCAAUUUUACUGGGGUUAUCUCGUACAGUGUAGCAAGUAAUAAUUUGGACAGACCUUUGUAAUAUCACAGUCUAAAACUGGAUUUAAAGAGAAGCAAAUUAGUAAAUGAAUCACAGGUAAAUGUAUCACUUGAAUAUGAAUCUCAUGAAAAUGAAUCACAUGUAAAUGAAUCACAUGAAAAUGUAUCACUUGAAUAUGAAUCUCAUGAAAAUGAAUCAUAUGUAAAUGAAUCACAUGUAAA
Ictalurus furcatus (blue catfish) is the source of this 7216-nucleotide long non-coding RNA. RefSeq lists it as uncharacterized. The record is from RefSeq and is a predicted model, not a curated record. The transcript is spliced from 3 exons. NCBI's taxonomy places the organism in Eukaryota, Metazoa, Chordata, Actinopteri, Siluriformes, Ictaluridae.